AUGUCACGUUGUGUUUGGGCAUUACUUGAUGAAUCCCUCAUAGAGCACAUGUGCAUGAAUUCUUGCUCGGAUGCGAAGGAGUGGCUGUUCCACAUGAUGGAGACUACAACACAUGAAGAAUUCAUCAAAAUUUUAUUGACACUUUGGGCGAUCUGGGGUGCGCGCGGAAAGGCAAUUCAUGAAUCUAUCUACCAAAGCCCGGUGAUUAUUCAUGGUUUUGUUACCAGUCUCAUUGCCGACCUUCAAAUGGUGAACACAAAACUGGAUAAAGCUGCUCCAAAUCUACAAGCAGCAGCGCCGAGAUGGAGGCCACCGCCGGAGGGCUGGGCCAAAAUUUAUGUUGAUGGUGGUACAAACAAGAUAGGAUCAAAGGGAGCAGCUGCCGUCAUAUGCAGGAAUGAUACAGGGAAGUACCUGGGGUCUUCAGCGAGGGUAUUGAACAAUUGCACCGACCCAGCAACUCUUGAAGCAAUAGCAUGCUGUGAAGCGCUGACUUUGGCGGAGGAUUUAAACAUUCAGAAAGUUAUUAUCGCAUGUGAUGCUUCCACAGUUAUCAAGAACAUCAAUGAAGGUAGUAGAUGCGAGUAUAGCUCGGUUCUUACGGAGAUUAAGGUGCGAUCGAGACAUUUUCUUAAUGUUAAUUUUGUGCACGAGGGUAGAGCAACAAACAUAGAAGCU
Molecule: ribosomal RNA, 678 nt
Filed under: Triticum aestivum (bread wheat)
Lineage: Eukaryota; Viridiplantae; Streptophyta; Magnoliopsida; Poales; Poaceae
Description: partial small subunit ribosomal RNA
Source: RNAcentral